UACGUAGGGAGCGAGCGUUGUCCGAAGUUACUGGGCGUAAAGCGCACGUAGGCGGAUUUGUAAGUCAGGGGUGAAAUCCCGGGGCUCAACCUCGGAACUGCCUUUGAUACUGCAAAUCUCGAGUCCGAUAGAGGUGGGUGGAAUUCCUAGUGUAGAGGUGAAAUUCGUAGAUAUUAGGAAGAACACCGGUGGCGAAGGCGGCCCACUGGAUCGGUACUGACGCUGAGGUGCGAAAGCGUGGGGAGCAAACAGG
RNAcentral lists this ribosomal RNA (253 nucleotides) under uncultured bacterium. Its description in RNAcentral is "partial 16S ribosomal RNA". It matches the Rfam family "Bacterial small subunit ribosomal RNA", at positions 524 to 776 of the family's 1533-position model. The record is from RNAcentral.